CCUACGGGAGGCAGCAGUGAGGAAUAUUGGUCAAUGGACGAGAGUCUGAACCAGCCAAGUAGCGUGAAGGAUGACUGCCCUAUGGGUUGUAAACUUCUUUUAUAUGGGAAUAAAAUGUUCCACGUGUGGGAUUUUGUAUGUACCCUAUGAAUAAGGAUCGGCCAACUCCGUGCCAGCAGCCGCGGUAAUAAGGAGGAUCCGAGCGUUAUCCGGAUUUAUUGGGUUUAAAGGGAGCGUAGGUGGAUUGUUAAGUCAGUUGUGAAAGUUUGCGGCUCAACCGUAAAAUUGCAGUUGAAACUGGCAGUCUUGAGUACAGUAGAGGUAGGCGGAAUGCGUGGUGUAGCGGUGAAAUGCUUAGAUAUCACGAAGAACUCCGAUUGCGAAGGCAGCUCACUGGACUGCAACUGACACUGAGGCUCGAAAGUGUGGGUAUCGAACAGGAUUAGAUACCCCAGUAGUC
Molecule: ribosomal RNA, 460 nt
Filed under: uncultured bacterium
Lineage: Bacteria
Description: partial 16S ribosomal RNA
Rfam family: Bacterial small subunit ribosomal RNA
Source: RNAcentral